This is a non-coding RNA of Triticum aestivum (bread wheat), 135 nucleotides long. The record is from Rfam. NCBI's taxonomy places the organism in Eukaryota, Viridiplantae, Streptophyta, Magnoliopsida, Poales, Poaceae.
UAUAUACUCCAUCCGUCCAAAAAUACUUGUCAUCAAAAUGGAUAAAAGGAGAUGGAUGUAGAUGUAUUUUAGUUUUAGAUACAUCUUUUUUUAUCUAUUUUGAUGGCAAGUACUUUCGGACGGAGGAAGUACCUA